Molecule: ribosomal RNA, 496 nt
Filed under: uncultured bacterium
Lineage: Bacteria
Description: partial 16S ribosomal RNA
Rfam family: Bacterial small subunit ribosomal RNA
Source: RNAcentral
GAUGAACGCUGGCGGCGUGCCUAAUACAUGCAAGUCGAGCGAACAGACGAGGAGCUUGCUCCUCUGACGUUAGCGGCGGACGGGUGAGUAACACGUGGAUAACCUACCUAUAAGACUGGGAUAACUUCGGGAAACCGGAGCUAAUACCGGAUAAUAUAUUGAACCGCAUGGUUCAAUAGUGAAAGACGGUUUUGCUGUCACUUAUAGAUGGAUCCGCGCCGCAUUAGCUAGUUGGUAAGGUAACGGCUUACCAAGGCAACGAUGCGUAGCCGACCUGAGAGGGUGAUCGGCCACACUGGAACUGAGACACGGUCCAGACGCCUACGGGAGGCAGCAGUAGGGAAUCUUCCGCAAUGGGCGAAAGCCUGACGGAGCAACGCCGCGUGAGUGAUGAAGGUCUUCGGAUCGUAAAACUCUGUUAUUAGGGAAGAACAAAUGUGUAAGUAACUAUGCACGUCUGGACGGUACCUAAUCAGAAAGCCACGGCUAACUACGG